This 203-nucleotide long non-coding RNA is filed under the name Carica papaya (papaya). Its description in RNAcentral is "long non-coding RNA (CPAP_LNC004612)". Lineage: Eukaryota; Viridiplantae; Streptophyta; Magnoliopsida; Brassicales; Caricaceae. The record is from RNAcentral.
GAGGAUUUAUCCUAUGAGGAGAUACCAAUGUGCAUUAUAGACUAAAAAGUAGAGUACUCUACAAUAGAGAAAUUUCAUUCAUCAAAGUUUUAUGGCAGAAUCACACACAGAAAGAUACCACAUAAGAGCUAGAAUCGGACUUCAUAACCCAGUAUCCCCAACUAUUUGACUAAGUGAGAUAGUGACAAAUUUGAGGGACCAAU